Molecule: unclassified non-coding RNA, 306 nt
Filed under: Rhodobacter sp. 24-YEA-8
Lineage: Bacteria; Pseudomonadati; Pseudomonadota; Alphaproteobacteria; Rhodobacterales
Description: Long range pseudoknot
Source: RNAcentral
ACGGAUGAGCAUGAUUACCAGGUCAAGAUGCGCUCGGUCCUGAAAUUCCUUGACGAAGGCGACAAGGUAAAGGUCACCCUGCGUUUCCGGGGCCGCGAAAUGGCCCACCAGCAGCUUGGGCUGGAGCUUCUGAACCGCGUCUCGGCCGAUGUCGGCGAUGCCGGCAAGGUAGAGAGCAUGCCAAAGCUUGAAGGUCGCCAGAUGGUGAUGAUGAUCGGGCCGAGAUAACCGGCGCCUGAUAUCCUGACAUGUAAAAGCCCCGCCCUGGCGGGGUUUUGCAUAUCUGAGAGGCGGAUCCCUUUCCAA